Molecule: long non-coding RNA, 1070 nt
Filed under: Sus scrofa (pig)
Lineage: Eukaryota; Metazoa; Chordata; Mammalia; Artiodactyla; Suidae
Description: lncRNA (ENSSSCG00070028019.1)
Source: RNAcentral
AUGUGCAAUUUCUUAUAUCACCAAGACAUAAUUUUCAAAUUAAGACCUAAGGGCCACCACUUAUGGGAGAUAAUCAAGAUCUUGCAUCAGUACUCAGAUCUCAGCAUUCGGAUCUCCUGGGAGCAUCAUGAUGUAGUGGAGAGAGGCCAAUGCAGUCCCUGGGGUCAGAGUGUGAGAGAGACAUUGGCUGCGUCCUGGCUCUGCCCACUACCAUCUACAGACCUUUAUUUUUUUUUUUUUUUCAUUUUUAAAAAAGUUUUAUCGACGUAUAGGUUUGGAAUUAGCAUAUACACCCUGAGGUGUAUAGAAUGAUUGGCCAACGGGGACCUGCGAGAUAGCACAGAGAACAUUCUGUGAUAAUCUUUGUGGGGCAAGAAUCUAAAAGAGAAUGGCUGUGUGUGUGUACACGGAUAACUGAAUCACUGUGUUGCACAGCAGAAAUUAUCACAACAUUGUUAAUCAACUCUGCCUCCAUCUACAUAACUUAAGAAGAGGGGCUCUUUCUGAGCUUCAGCUUCCUCACUGGAAAACGAGGACCAUCACCGCUAUUUUCCUUACAGAGCUGCUGGGAGAGCAAUAUGGGAUGCAAAACAUGUAGAGAUGCUCUACAAGGGCCGGUGCCCUGUGCUCUCCCCACUCCCACCGGCGCCUUCCCCACCACCCCCACCCAUCGGCCUCCCACUAGCACAUACAAGAAACGGCCAGUUUCUGUUCUUUUCCUUUAUCAAUACUUCCAAAAUCCUCUUUCUAAUCUAUAUAACUACAACCUCAAACUGAUAAGUUUCUUGGGAAGCCAGAACCAGAAAAUGUGCUGUUGGUGGGUCAGUUGACUUGGGAUGCCAGGUUGGAAAAAGAAUGAAUUUUUUUACCAUUUUUGGCUGCAUGAGGAAGUUACAGGACCAGGGAUCAAAUCCAUGUCACAGCAGUGACCCAGGCCACAGCAGUGACAACACCAGAUCCUUAACCACUAAUAAUCAGAUAUAUUCAAAUAUUUGUGUACAGGCUGUACAUUCUAGUAUUGUAAUAGUGAAGGAGUAGAAAUAAAUAAGAUUUCUAAGACUAGGAUACCA